UUUUAUCAGGGUUUUAUAUUUAACAGUACAACAUACCCGGAGCACGAUAAAAUAUUAGUCAGUGUUGAGAGCAUGCUUCUUAAAAUAAUGCCUUAAACUUCUAGCAUAAUAAUAAUUAUGGGAAAUACAUUCAUGUGGAAUUACGUCAUUCAUUUUUAGCUCACCUGUCACAAAGUGACAGGGUGAGCUUUUGUGAUCGCUUUUCGUCCGGCGUCCGGCCGUCCAUCGUCCGUCCGUAAACUUUUGCUUUAAAUGACAUCUCCUCAUAAACCACUGAGCCAAUUUCAUCCAAACUUCACCGUGUGUUCCUUUAAAAAGUGUUCAAAGAAUUUAAUUCCAUGCAGAACUCUGGUUGCCAUGGCAACCGAAAGAAAAAUCUUUAAAUAUCUUCUUUUAAACAACCCUAAGAGCUAGAGCUUAGAUAUUUGGCAUGAAACAUCUUCUAAUGAGUGUCUACCAAGUUUGUUCAAAUAAAAGCCCUGGGGUCAAAAUUGGCCCCACCCCAGGGGGUCAUUGAUUUUCCCUAUAUGCAUAUAGUAAAAACUUAAAAAAUCUUCUUUUACAGAACCCAAAGAGCUAGAGCUAAGAUAUUUGGCAUGAAACAUCUUCUAGUGAGUGUCUACCAAGUUUGUUCAAAUAAAAGCCCUUGGGGUCAAAAUUGGCCCUGCCCCAGGGGGUCAUAGAUUUUCCCUAUAUGCAUAUAGUAAAAACUUAAAAAAUCUUCUUUUAAAGAACCCAAGGAGUUAGAGCUAAGAUAUUUAGCAUGAAACAUCUUCUAAUGAGUGUCUACCAAGUUUGUUCAAAUAAAAGCCCUGGGGUCAAAAUUGGCCCCGCCCCAGGGGGUCAUUGAUUUUCCCUAUAUGCAUAUAGUAAAAACUUAAAAAAUCUUCUUUCAAAGAACUCAAAGAGCUAGAGCUUAGAUAUUUAGCAUGAAACAUGUUCUAAUGAGUGUCUACCAAGUAUGUUCAAAUAAAAGCCCUGGGGUCAAAACUGGCCCCGCCC
Long non-coding RNA from Ruditapes philippinarum (Manila clam), 1002 nucleotides. RefSeq lists it as uncharacterized. The record is from RefSeq and is a predicted model, not a curated record. The transcript has 2 exons. Lineage: Eukaryota; Metazoa; Mollusca; Bivalvia; Venerida; Veneridae.